Non-coding RNA from Pelobates cultripes (western spadefoot toad), 215 nucleotides. The record is from the annotation of a GenBank genome assembly. NCBI's taxonomy places the organism in Eukaryota, Metazoa, Chordata, Amphibia, Anura, Pelobatidae.
CACACUCCUAUACAUGAUUAGAUUUCCAACAAUUGUUUUGUUUCCCACUACUUUUUUCUUUUUUAGUUUGUUGCAGUCAAUAGUACCCAGACUGUCACAUAGUGUAGCAUAACUGCCUAUUACAAUUGCUGCUAAUUGUAUUGCCUGCUGUUAUUUUUAUAUAUCAAUGGAGCUAUAACUAUUUCUUAGAGAUAAUGAAAAUUUAUGGAGGAUAG